AGCUUUCUUUAACAUCUCCGUGUCAUUUCUUUUGUUCUCACCGUGAGAUGCGACGACUCUUGCUCUUCUCUUCCAUCACGGUGUGACGACACCGAUCUAUUCCACCAUCUAAGAUGGAGAUGCGACUCUUGCUCCUCUCUACCGUCGGAUUUACUUCCAUAAUCGACGAAAGGGAAUUGCAGUUCCGAAAGGAUAUCGCUGUUCACUUUAUUGUUCAUAUGGCCUAAACAAAAAAUAGAAGAAGAAGAAGGAGAAGAAGAAAAAGUCAAAAAAUGAGAAGUUGUAUUAAUUUUUAUACUUUUUAAUGGAUUUAAGAUUUCAUGUUGGGUUUCGAAUUAUCUUUUUGUUGGGCUAAUAGGCCUCUUUUUAGUGUAAAAAGUGAAUCCCUAAAUCUUAUUGAAAUCUUAUUUU
Molecule: long non-coding RNA, 411 nt
Organism: Camelina sativa (false flax)
Lineage: Eukaryota; Viridiplantae; Streptophyta; Magnoliopsida; Brassicales; Brassicaceae
Source: RefSeq, a predicted model, not a curated record